This 741-nucleotide long non-coding RNA is filed under the name Rattus norvegicus (Norway rat). RNAcentral's name for it is "long non-coding RNA NONRATT032490". The record is from RNAcentral. Lineage: Eukaryota; Metazoa; Chordata; Mammalia; Rodentia; Muridae.
UACAAUUUCGGCAGUUAAAACCAGACUUCCUUUCUCUUCCUUGUUUGUGCUUGCCUUUCCCUCAUUUUCCUUCUCUGCCUUCCCCUUCCCUGUAGCAGGACUAUGUUUUUGAUGUCCCUUUCUGUCUUGACAAUACAUCCCAAACUGCACCUGCUUUCCCCAGGGCUUAUCUAUUCUUUCCCAGACACGUGUAAAUAAGUGGAAAGUUCAGACCUGUGUAGACAGCGCUGUUACUAUCUCAUGUCUCCAACAAUCUCUGUAUCUUUUCAGGCGAACCAUCUAGCUUCGUGAGUUUUGCUGUCAACAACUAGAGGGUACACGAAUCUCUCGGUAAUUACAGAGCUAGCCUCCUGAACGACUUCCAUGAUUAAAAAAUUUCAUCAUCAAAGGUACCCUAAGAAGCAAGAAGUUCAGCUAUAUGGUGGAUCAAGACAAUUAUUAAACUCAGGAAAGAAUGAAAUUAACCAUGGCUCAAUCAGUAUUCUAUCACUUUGUCUGUUAAUUGUCUGGAUUAUUUCAUCCUUUAGGAACGGUAGACAGAACAGCCAGGGUAACAGUUGAGACAUGAGUCUCAGCUCUGCUGCUUGAGAAAGUCAUGGCAGAAGUAUGGUGAGGAGGCUACUAAUUUGGUAAAGGGUCAAAUAUCCAGAGAUCCAUGUUAACUGAGCAAGGUGACAUCUGCCUGUAAUGCCAACUUUCAGAAGGCAGAGGCAAGACGUUCUGGGUCACCCUGGAACACAU